UGAUCAUGUCUCAGGAUAAACGCUGGCGGGGUGCCUAACACAUGCAAGUCGAACGCGCUCAGCAAUGAGCGAGUGGCGGCCGAGGAGUAACACGUGGGAACGUACCUUGAGGUGAGGGAUACCGGCGAGAAAUCGCCGACAAGCUCGCAUGUGCUUCCCUUGAAAAGCAAAGCUCUUUCGGGAGCGCCACAGGAUGGGCCCGCGGCCGAUUAGCUAGUUGGUGGGGUAUAAGCUCACCAAGGAGUCUAUCGGUAGCUGGUAUGAGAGGACGAUCAGCCACACUGGGAUUGAGAACGGCCCAGACUCCUACGGAGGGCAGCAGUGAGGAAUUUUCCGCAAUGGAGGAAACUCUGACGGAGCAACGCCGCGUGCAGGAAGACGGCCUUCGGGUUGUAAAGUGCUUUUCUGUGGGAAGAGAACGGACGGUACCACAGGAAUAAGCCCCGGCUAACUACGUGCCAGCAGCCGCGGUAAUACGAAGGGGGCGAGCGUUGUCCGGAGUUACUGGGCGUAAAGGGCACGCAGGCGGUUGUGUCAGUUUGCGGGGACAGUGGGUGGCUUAACUGCCCAAGCGUCGCAAAGACGGCACGACUGGAGAGCGAGAGAGGGACCUGGAAUUCCGGGUGGAGCGGUGAAAUGCGUAGAGGUCCGGAGGAACACCACUGGCGAAGGCAAGGUUCUGGCUCGUAUCUGACGCUGAGGUGCGAAAGCUAGGGGAGCGAACGGGAUUAGAUACCCCGGUAGUCCUAGCCGUAAACGAUGACCACUAGAUGUGGGAGGUAUCGACCCCUUCCGUGUCGCAGUCAACACGUUAAGUGGUCCGCCUGGGGAGUACGGUCGCAAGAUUAAAACUCAAAUGAAUUGACGG
This 868-nucleotide ribosomal RNA is filed under the name uncultured bacterium. Its description in RNAcentral is "bacterial SSU rRNA". It matches the Rfam family "Bacterial small subunit ribosomal RNA", at positions 14 to 916 of the family's 1533-position model. The record is from RNAcentral.